UGAUGGCGAACGCCAUCUUUGACUGGGUGGAAGAUGGGCCUCAAGUUGUGAACUUUUGGGGCUUGGAGAGUUUUUGGUUUAUUUUGUGGGCCUUUUCAGGGUAAUCUUUCCAUUUUGAUUGGGGCUUGAUUGCAUAGUAUAUUUUGACAUAGUCUGACCUUGAAUUAGACAUAUUAAAAAUAUGAACAUAAUAUAUUGCUGAAAAUAAAAAUAAAAAAAUGGAAAAAAAUAAAGAAAUGCAUAAUGGAAAAAUAUUUGGAAGUAACUAGAAAGGAAAUUGGAAAGAGAAAAAUAAGUCCAAAUAAUAAUA
This 310-nucleotide long non-coding RNA is filed under the name Lathyrus oleraceus (garden pea). RNAcentral describes it as "Pisum sativum (pea) long non-coding RNA (PSAT_LNC023414)". The record is from RNAcentral. Lineage: Eukaryota; Viridiplantae; Streptophyta; Magnoliopsida; Fabales; Fabaceae.